GAUAAAACGUAGCGAAAUGCGAUACUUGGUGUGAAUUGCAGAAUCCCGUGAACCAUCGAGUCUUUGAACGCAAGUUGCGCCCGAAGCCAUCAGGUUGAGGGCACGUCUGCCUGGGCGUCACAUAUCGUUGCCCAAUGCCUAUUGCAGUGCAAUAGGAAUUUCUAGGGCGAAUGAUGGCUUCCCGUGAGCGUUGUUGCCUCGCGGUUGGUUGAAAAUCGAGUCCUUGGUAGGGUGUGCCAUGGUAGAUGGUGGUCGAGUUAGAACGAUACCGAUCAUGUGCAUGCUCCCCAAAAUAUGGCCUCUAUGACCCACACGCGUCUUUUGACGCUCAUGACGAGACCUCAGGUCAGGCGGGGCUACCCGCUGAAUUUAAGCAUAUCAAUAAGCGGAGGA
RNAcentral lists this unclassified non-coding RNA (393 nucleotides) under soil metagenome. RNAcentral's name for it is "partial contains 5.8S ribosomal RNA, internal transcribed spacer 2, and large subunit ribosomal RNA". The stretch from base 4 to 120 matches the Rfam family "5.8S ribosomal RNA", at positions 40 to 154 of the family's 154-position model. The record is from RNAcentral.